AAACUCAAAUGAAUUGACGGGGCCCGCACAAGCGGUGGAGCAUGUGGUUUAAUUCGACGCAACGCGAAGAACCUUACCAGGGCUUGACAUCCCCUGACCGCGUAUGAAAGUACGUUUUCACCCUCGGGUGACAGGGAGACAGGUGGUGCAUGGUUGUCGUCAGCUCGUGUCGUGAGAUGUUGGGUUAAGUCCCGCAACGAGCGCAACCCCUAUCUCUAGUUGCCAGCGAUUCGGUCGGGGACUCUAGAGAUACUGCCCCGGUUAACGGGAGGAAGGUGGGGAUGACGUCAAGUCCUCAUGGCCCUUAUGCCCAGGGCUACACACGUGCUACAAUGGGCGGUACAAAGGGUAGCGAUGCCGCGAGGUGAAGCCAAUCCCAAAAAGCCGUCCACAGUUCGGAUUGGAGUCUGCAACUCGACUCCAUGAAGCCGGAAUCGCUAGUAAUCGUGGAUCAGCAUGCCACGGUGAAUACGUUCCCGGGCCUU
RNAcentral lists this ribosomal RNA (485 nucleotides) under uncultured Desulfobacterium sp. RNAcentral's name for it is "bacterial SSU rRNA". It matches the Rfam family "Bacterial small subunit ribosomal RNA", at positions 897 to 1382 of the family's 1533-position model. Lineage: Bacteria; Pseudomonadati; Thermodesulfobacteriota; Desulfobacteria; Desulfobacterales; Desulfobacteriaceae. The record is from RNAcentral.